RNAcentral lists this long non-coding RNA (437 nucleotides) under Mytilus galloprovincialis (Mediterranean mussel). Lineage: Eukaryota; Metazoa; Mollusca; Bivalvia; Mytilida; Mytilidae. The record is from RNAcentral.
AAGAUAUUUAGCAUAAGCAUAAACAUUGAUACUGUAAAACGUUUUAUUUCUGAUGUUUCUCGUUAUUGCUUGAAUUAUCUGAUAUAUAAUGAUAUAUGAAAAGCAGUGUACUCAAAAAUACUACUGUUUUUAUAUUCAAUAACUUGGGAAGAAAAUUAAAAUUGAUUGGAAAUAUAGAGUUGCAAACCUAUCUAUCUUUAUUCAGUAAACUGUGAGUGGUUGUAGUUUUUUGGACAUUUUUGUGGGAUUUUCAGAAAAAAUUAAUAGUUACCAAUCAAAUUUUCCUCUAUAAUAUUAAUAGAUAAUUGCACUUUAUUCAUAAACAUAUACAUUUAUACCUUCAGUAUGUAUUAUAAUAUUUGUUUUACCAAAUGAUUCAAAUUGCAGAUGCAGAAAAAAAUACAUUUUGUCGAAUAUUUGAUUAAUUUUCAGAAUCU